CUUGGGAGCCCUGACGACUCUGUCUUUUUUCUUUUGAAGUGUGUUUUUUCUUUCAUCCUCACCCCUCCUCUCAGGCAUGUGUGUUUCAAGAACCAGAGAUUGUGUUCUAUUCCACCUGGCUUGUGCUGGAAGUUAAAGAGAGCCACAAGAGUAGUAUACAGAAAAUGGGCAGAUAAUUCUGCUCAAUGAGAACAAGUGCGGAGUUAUUGAUUCAUUGUUCCAAAACAGCCAAAGACCAUAGAAGAAGGAGGAGAAGGAGAAGGAGGAGAAGUUGUUCACAGAGGCUGAAUUUUAGAGCCAGGGAGAACAAUGAACUAAUACUAAUCAAGGAAAUUUUCUACCCACAAUGAAGAGAGGCUUGGCAAUAUUUGCUCAACAUGAAUUCCAAAUUUUCUAGACUAAGACUAUUAAGGGCUUUCUAUUUUUUCCUUUCCAGGUAGGAGUAUAUGCUGCAGUUUCUAUUCUAUUCUAUUGUACAUUGAGUGUGUGGAGGAAAUAUUAUAAGUGUUUGGAUUUGUGGCAUAAGAUGAACUUCAUAUGAAUAUGAUGUAGAUAGUGGAUUUCUAGAUUUUUAUAUUAAAGCUGGAAUUGAACGAGG
RNAcentral lists this long non-coding RNA (598 nucleotides) under Heterocephalus glaber (naked mole-rat). RNAcentral's name for it is "lncRNA (ENSHGLG00100033404.1)". The record is from RNAcentral. Lineage: Eukaryota; Metazoa; Chordata; Mammalia; Rodentia; Bathyergidae.